UUAUGGAUUAAGAUAUUAAGAGUAUAUGGGGAAUGCCUUGGCACAGAUAGGCGAAGAAGGGCGUAGCAGACUGCGAUAAGCCUCGGGGAGCCGUCAAGCAGGCUUAGAUCCGAGGAUUUCCGAAUGGGGAAACCUGAUACGAUAAACUCGUAUCGUCUCUGAAUAAAUACAUAGUUCAGGGUCGCCAACCCAGAGAAGUGAAACAUCUCAGUAUCUGGAGGAAAAGAAAACAAAAGUGAUUUCCCAAGUAGUGGUGAGCGAACGGGAAAGAGUCUAAACCCAGACAUACGUGAUAGGCUGCAACCGUUGUAUGUCAGGUGUCGCGGGACCUGAUUGGUCAAGUGCAGUGAGACCAAAAGGUUACAAAUUAUCUGUAUAGCAGAACUGUUUGGAAUGACAGGCCACAGAAGGUGAAAGCCCGGUAUGCGGCAUGCAGAUGACCUUUUUCAGGUAUCCCAAGUACCACGGGACACGAGAAACCCUGUGGGAAUUCGGCAGGACCACCUGCCAAGGCUAA
This 517-nucleotide ribosomal RNA is filed under the name Caldifarciminota bacterium. RNAcentral's name for it is "bacterial LSU rRNA". It matches the Rfam family "Bacterial large subunit ribosomal RNA", at positions 1 to 469 of the family's 2925-position model. Lineage: Bacteria; Pseudomonadati; Caldifarciminota. The record is from RNAcentral.